GUACUUCCCUGGCAGAGAAGAGACCAUGGCCAAGAAUGUAGGUUUUCUAGAGCAAAGCUAAUCUACUGUACUUGAGAUGUGCUGACCACUGAAAGUUCUGAAAAUUCAGUAAACUCUACUGUGUAAGUUGUUGUUGUGGGGGACUGUAUUCAUGCUCUCCCCUA
This is a small nuclear RNA of Mesocricetus auratus (golden hamster), 164 nucleotides long. Its record names the gene U1. It matches the Rfam family "U1 spliceosomal RNA". From Rfam's summary of the family: U1 is a small nuclear RNA (snRNA) component of the spliceosome (involved in pre-mRNA splicing). Its 5' end forms complementary base pairs with the 5' splice junction, thus defining the 5' donor site of an intron. The record is from Ensembl. NCBI's taxonomy places the organism in Eukaryota, Metazoa, Chordata, Mammalia, Rodentia, Cricetidae.